Long non-coding RNA from Lolium rigidum, 1926 nucleotides. RefSeq lists it as uncharacterized. The record is from RefSeq and is a predicted model, not a curated record. The transcript is spliced from 3 exons. Lineage: Eukaryota; Viridiplantae; Streptophyta; Magnoliopsida; Poales; Poaceae.
ACCCUCCUCUCUCUCCUCCUGCUCACAUCUCUCCUCCGCAUACGGCGCCCAUCACACCGGCCGUCACGUCCUCCUCCUCGAUCGCCGCCUCCACCACGCGGAUCCGGCCUCAAUCGCAUCCCCCUCGACUGUCUCUUCCAGCACACGUCUAGGGGCAUGGAGCCCGGAUGCCCUCCCUAGACUGCCAUCAAGAUCAGCACCACAGAUGCGUGGCUCGAGGCAUGGGGGCCUGAAUCCGGGCAUAGGUGUCCGAGAUUUGGGCAUGGUCGCCCGGAUCCGAUCUUCUCGCUUGAUCUUCCUUUUUUCCUGAUUUUGACAAAGACUCGAUUCAUCCGGAACCAGCUUCUAAGGUUGCUGGACUAUGCUGCUGUUGCCAUGAGUGAUCGGCGUGCAAAUGGUCAUCGCAGUGUCGCUCCUUCUGCUCCAUGAUAUUUGCCUUCGCUUUGGCGGCGCAUCGAUGGCUUGGUGAAUUCGUGUUACGGUGAUUCCACACCAGCUGUUGUUGAUCCAUUUUUCGUGUCAUCUGUUGAUCAUGUUGGGGUGUCUUCUGCUGUUAAUUCUUCUACGGAUAUUGAUGCUCGAAGGUAGGGUUCCCCAGUGAUAUUACCUACUUAGCUCAUUCCAAUGAAGUCCAUGAUUUUUUUAUCUGACCUGCAACAUCAUAAUUACGCACUACUCUUGUGGUGGUGAUGUUACUCUUCGAAUUUCUCUAAAUACGCUCUUAGAAGAUGGUUAGAAUUGCAUUCUCAAAUUUCGGUAAGAACUCUCACUUUUUAUUUUCGUUUUGGGUGAUAGAAUUAAUAAACUUUCAGAUUCGUGCAGUAAUGUAUUCUUGGGUCUUACUUACAUUUUACCUAUUAUUUCUAUUGAAAAUACGAGAUUGAAUGUCAAACAUGCUAGGUCAGUUCAUUUGCAUUAAUUUUUUUUAGCUCUCUGGCUCUAAUUUCUCAUAUGUAGCAAUUUUUUUUUUGAUAUAUAAGACGAGGCAUGCUCUUGCUUUUCAGGUUUUCAAUGUAUUAUCCAACCAACAUCAGAUACUUUGCUGAGCUCCAAGAGACGGUUCCCGUCCUGCACUACAAUUGUUUAUCGCAUAUAGCAAACAUAAUUUAUGGUUGCCAGUGAAUCCAGAUAACUCUGCUUUGCCAUAUUACUUUUACACUCCACAAUUAUUUGGUUAUUUGAACUACGGAUUUGAAGGGCAAAUUUCUGUAGCAACUUCAUUUAAUUCAAAUAAAGGGAUUAUCAAAACAAGAAGUUAAAUCACACAAGCUUAACCUUAACGCUUGACAGUAGCAUCUCUCUUGAGGCGUGUCAAGAAAGGGCUUAAAGAUGCUUGCAAUAGUUAUUUUGGAUACGUGGAUCUGGUCCUUACGACAUUGUAUUUUUUAAUUUGCACCUCCAAUUUAUAAUAUUGCUGUUUUAAUUUUCAGAUCUUCGCAAACACGAUAUAUACAUGUGAGUUUUGUUUAAUCCUCAACAGACUAGCAACAUCGCUGUUUGGCAACAUGCCACUACUGGCUAAUUUGAAAUAUGGCUUCAGAAUUUAGACAAUUAGAAGCAAAAGUUCUCCUCCAGCAGGUAGUGAAAGGUGAAGUUGGCCAGCCACUCGUGGGAGUCUCCCGGUUAGCCUGUUGGAGUAGAGGUUGAGGAUGGAAAACCAGUCGCCCAUAUUGUCUGAUGUGUCGGCGGGAUCUCUCCAGAGUGGUCAUUGUUGCCGAGGUGCUGUAGCGGGAUGCAGCGUGGAGAUUUUGGCGGAGACUUCUGUUUGCAGCGUGCGACAGAAAAAGAAAAGAAGAGGAAUAGACACAUCGAGCCUUGCCUGUGGGCAUCCUCUAUCUAGAUGAAGCUGGUGUAAAUUGAACAGAUUGCUUAUGCGAUGCCUGAGGAUAUGGAAAAGAUAUGUGGUGGAGAAAAAGAAGAGUGCUU